Long non-coding RNA from Lolium rigidum, 783 nucleotides. RefSeq lists it as uncharacterized. The transcript has 3 exons. The record is from RefSeq and is a predicted model, not a curated record. Lineage: Eukaryota; Viridiplantae; Streptophyta; Magnoliopsida; Poales; Poaceae.
UGGGGAGCGGCCUGGAUUUCUCGGGCGUGGGCGCUGUGUUCCCAGCGGACUGUGACGAGCACCAGGUUACAAGCUUUGACCGCAAUCACUAGUCUUGAAGAUUGAUAUUCUUCAAUUCUACUCCAAAACUGCAAGGCGUAAUCAGCAGUGAUAUCUCCCUCGUCGAAGAACCAUGUCGAUCUACUGUGCUACUGAGCGAGGAAGAAGGAGCGAUGAUGAGGGCGCGUGGACCUGGAGGUACUAGUCGGCGCUCUCUUGGGUGGGUGUUGGGCGCGCGUGUACCUGUAGGUGCGGUCGGCCUCCAGGAAGUGUAGCUGGGCGACCUGGAGCUUCCGACGAGCUGGGCCACGCGCGCGACGUGGAUGGAUUCCGGCGACCCAUGCGGAAUGAUUCCGGGGACGUGGCGUGGAUCGACUCUGGCGAUGUGCGUGGAACGAUUGACGAGCUAGGCGACGCCCACGGCGUGAAUGGAUUCCAGCAACACACGUGGAUCGAUUAGCGAGCAGGACCGGCCAAGCGCGGAGGAGGAGCUGGCCGGUGGAGGAGGGUCGAUUCCGGUGGGAGCUGGCCGGUGGACGGCGGAGGGAUGACGCUGGUGCGAACGCGAGAUUCCAGUUUUAGAUAGGGUUAUUGAUGUCUUUCACAGUGUUUUCACCUGGUCGGAACAUUUGUUUAACGUUUUACAAGUAUCUGUAUUACAAAGUAUUACUAAUCACACUCCAAUCUUGCAGUUUUAAAUUUGUCCCCGGUUUCAAUAUAAUUGCUAAAUUAUUUCAGCAUGUA